UGCCUUUAUGUGUUGCCCGUUCAUUUUCAACUAGAUGAAUGUGGUGUCAAAUAAGGCGAACAGUAACUCUUGUAACAGCAUAAACACGGAAAAUACACUAUCUAGUAAUUUCUGUAAUAGGGCUGUGCCAAGAACAUGU
This is a small nucleolar RNA of Electrophorus electricus (electric eel), 139 nucleotides long. Lineage: Eukaryota; Metazoa; Chordata; Actinopteri; Gymnotiformes; Gymnotidae. The record is from Ensembl.